UACAUAGCAUAUCAGAAGGCACACCCGGAGAACUGAAACAUCUUAGUACCCGGAGGAAGAGAAAGAAAAUUCGAUUCCCUUAGUAGCGGCGAGCGAAACGGGAAGAGCCCAAACCAACAAGCUUGCUUGUUGGGGUUGUAGGACACUCUAUACGGAGUUACAAAGGACGACAUUAGACGAAUCAUCUGGAAAGAUGAAUCAAAGAAGGUAAUAAUCCUGUAGUCGAAAAUGUUGUCUCUCUUGAGUGGAUCCUGAGUACGACGGAGCACGUGAAAUUCCGUCGGAAUCUGGGAGGACCAUCUCCUAAGGCUAAAUACUCUCUAGUGACCGAUAGUGAACCAGUACCGUGAGGGAAAGGUGAAAAGCACCCCGGAAGGGGAGUGAAAUAGAACCUGAAACCGUGUGCUUACAAGUAGUCAGAGCCCGUUAAUGGGUGAUGGCGUGCCUUUUGUAGAAUGAACCGGCGAGUUACGAUUUGAUGCAAGGUUAAGCAGUAAAUGUGGAGCCGUAGCGAAAGCGAGUCUG
RNAcentral lists this ribosomal RNA (525 nucleotides) under Staphylococcus aureus. RNAcentral's name for it is "partial 23S ribosomal RNA". It matches the Rfam family "Bacterial large subunit ribosomal RNA", at positions 163 to 685 of the family's 2925-position model. The record is from RNAcentral. Lineage: Bacteria; Bacillati; Bacillota; Bacilli; Caryophanales; Staphylococcaceae.